This 545-nucleotide long non-coding RNA is filed under the name Olea europaea subsp. europaea. The record is from RNAcentral. Lineage: Eukaryota; Viridiplantae; Streptophyta; Magnoliopsida; Lamiales; Oleaceae.
CACAUGAAAAAUUAUACCAAUUAAACACAAUAAUUUACAAUGUUCAGGAAAACAAUUUCUAGGCAAUUCAAUUUCCUAGAAUUAGUUUUCAAUUCUAAGGUAUUUCUACAGAUUAGCUUGAGUUGGACUUUUCUUUUACCGAUAACUCUUGUUGUUCUUGGAUCUUCAAGAUUGACUCACCUCUCCAUUUCAUUUGUUCCCCCUCACUAUUUCCUCAUAGCUUUCUUAAGUUUUCAUUUUGUGGCAAUUAUACCACCACAAUUUUUAUUUGAUACACUACAUUUUAAUUACAGUUAAACUCCUCAAUUUUUGCUCAUUAUAGUAAUUAUUUUGUUAACUUUUUCCGUUGAAUCCUUAUUUUUAACCUUCCAUUAAUUAGUAUAUCUUGUAUUUGAUGGCGAUUUAUAUCUAAUUAUUUUAUUUUCAUGCUUUGAAAUAAGGAAAAAGUAUUUUUUUUCUUGCAGUUUUUAUUUAUUUAUUUUUUAAAUAUGAUGGUAAAAUAAGUAUUUUCAACAGACCUUGGACAUAAAAUUAUUAUCAAAUAC